AUGAUGAGAGAGAUCCACACCGCGGCGUUACCGUAGUUACCGUGCAAGAAGCGACCAACGAACCAGGCUAAUGGAAGCUAAAGAGUAAACACAAAUGGAAAUUGAGUAAACACAGAAAUACCAAGAGGGCCCAUUGUUCCAUUAUAUUCCCCAUGGUGUUGGGUCUUACCUGCGCCAUCAUGCCCAUGAAGGCCCAAAGUCUGAACAUCCUGAGAGGAACGCUGACCAAGUACUGACAGAAACAGACAAAGGAAACAAGGAUCAUUACAUGGAAGAAAAUGUGCUCUCUAAAAAUAAUAAUAAUCUAUAAUAAUUUAUACAAACAUCUACCAGAAACUGGAUUUUUGAGGACAUUUAAGGUCUAACAGGCAGUGUAUUCAAGUCAAGCGGAGAAAGUGGUUUCGGCGCAACAGCCCUUACCUCAUGGAAAAAAGCCGACAGGAAGAAGACAGCCGAUUGGCUGACUAUUUUACUAAACCCCUUCCUAAGCAGCGGCUUGUAAAAGUGCCUACGAGACAGACAAAAAUACAAACGUGGAAAUGGAUGAGUGGACGGAUGAUGUGCUGGAUGGACAUCGGUUGUAAAUCAGAAUGUCUAAAAUGUUUUCCUAAUGUGAAACAACGCCUGUGGGAGUAUUUCAACUCUCUUAUUUGCUUCAAAUCUCCCAGACUGACAGGAAUUCAAAGUAAAUAGCCCUUAAACCCUUUAAAUAGAAUUUCAUUUGCUUGGUCUCGUUUAAUAUAACCACCCUGCGUUUGCUCCUGCUGUUGUGUUCGGUUAUGUGGAACUGGCUGCCGGCGCCGCAUUUAUUAUUAGUACUUACUCUCUCACAGCCAGAUGAAUCAAUUUCCCAAACGUAUCAGUGUGCCUUGUUAAGUCUUUCUCCCUGCAUCAAACCCACUGCUGUCCCCCGUGUUCACUUUUAUAAAUUUCAAUGCUCCUUCUCGUUGUGCAGAGUGCGGAUAACUCACCGAAUACACCACUUGUGUACCGGGAUGUUCCAGUUCUGCCAGAAAUGUGUCACAGUCUCAGAGUUCCUAAAAGAGUCAGCAAAUAAAAGGAUUGAAGCAUUACAGGGUUUAAACAAUGUAUCCAAGGCAGUUGGAUCGAAACGGAUGAAAAUGGAGAGUCAAGAAUCUUUCUUUUUGUGCAGGAACAUGGGAAACGAUAGGAAUUAUCCCACUGUGCAUUGACGGGUGGAGUUGAUUUAUUAAUAUCAGCAAAUGUGCAACGCAUAAAAUUACUUAUCUAUACAUUUUGCAAAGUACUGAAAUUAUAGAACACAGCUGCUUAUAUACACAUAACGUUUUCAUUUACAAGUAAGCAAGCAAAUGCUUCCCAACGUCCACUACAUCUCAUUAAAUCCCUUAGCAACACACAUCAAAACCUACCACCAAUCAUUGUAGAACUGUCGGUCUCCAAAGCACAGCAGCUCAGCAGUGAAGUUCAUGGAUGAGUGGAAGAAGCCGUAGAAAAACAUCAGCCACAGCAAGUGAUUGGGGACCUGGAGAAGAGUUGGACAGACGGAAGGACACAACAACAAUAAAUACGGCUGCAUGGAGUUAAGGUCAAUCACUAAGUUGUAAUAAGCAUUGGGACAAACAGCAUUAGUGAAUGGUUGUUCAGAUGCAGGCACAUACUCACAGCUAAUCGUAGAAGUCUCUCAGUCAUCCUGGACAGAUCCAUGUCCUACAGAUGGGAAGAGCAACAGAUUAACAGGAGACGCACAGUAACACUUUGCAUUUGAAGGAAUAUACGUUUCACUGUCAUUCUGUCCUCCUCACCUCUAGUGGUUUCAUGGAACUUUGAAUAAUGGGAACCAUCCACUGAUAGAAAGACAGCAAAAAGCACGUAAAGUUAUUAUUAUACAUAUUGCCCGCAUGUUUACUCAUUUUUCUCAUAGUUUUACCAAUAAGGGCAAUACGAUCACAUCACAUCCUCAUAACCAUAAAAAACCUGAAAUGCAAAAGGACAGAAAAAAAAGCACCACACAUCUUUGGUUUACGUCACAAGACUUUACCUGUUGGGUGAGACCAACCAACAUCUGGAUGAAGAAAAGCUGGGGGCAAAAAAAAAAAAA
Non-coding RNA from Gasterosteus aculeatus aculeatus (three-spined stickleback), 2080 nucleotides. NCBI's taxonomy places the organism in Eukaryota, Metazoa, Chordata, Actinopteri, Perciformes, Gasterosteidae. The record is from RefSeq and is a predicted model, not a curated record.